CGAACAAAGAGUAGGUGCAAGAGAAGAUGGCAUAGCACGUCGUCUGUCAGUCCAAGCACUAGGAAAAGAAACCAGAGUCUAUGAGGGUAUGUCACUGCUUCGCGCUUUCUUUUGGUUUGUUGAUGAUGCGCUCUUUCUUUCUUCCAUAAAUACAUUAGCAUCUGGCUUUAAGCUUCUGAGGGUGCUGGACUUGGAAGAUGCUCCAAUUGAAAAGUUGCCAAAUGACAUAGUCACUUUGUUUAAUUUGAGAUACUUGAACUUGAAAAGAACACUAGUUAAGGAGCUGCCAAAAUCAAUUGGAAGAUUGCAUAACCUUGAAACAUUAAAUAUUGAUGACACCAACAUUAAGGCCCUUCCAAAAGGGAUUGUUAAGUUGCAGAACUUGCGGUAUCUUCUAGCACGCCGUUUGAAUCCUGGACUGUACAAUGAUUUCGAUUAUGUAUCUGGCAUACAAGUGCAUUUAGAUAUAAGUACUUUAAAGAACUUGCAAGUUCUAGGUUGUGUAGAAUCUAGUGGAAAUAUGAUGAAGCAAGUGCAAAGCAUGACCCAGCUAGUGAG
This 558-nucleotide unclassified non-coding RNA is filed under the name Hevea brasiliensis (rubber tree). The record is from RNAcentral. Lineage: Eukaryota; Viridiplantae; Streptophyta; Magnoliopsida; Malpighiales; Euphorbiaceae.